UACGUAGGGUGCGAGCGUUGUCCGGAAUUACUAGGCGUAAAGAGCUCGUAGGUGGUUUGUCGCGUUGUCCGUGAAAACUCACAGCUUAACUGUGGGCGUGCGGGCGAUACGGGCAGACUGGAGUACUGCAGGGGAGACUGGAAUUCCUGGUGUAGCGGUGGAAUGCGCAGAUAUCAGGAGGAACACCGGUGGCGAAGGCGGGUCUCUGGGCAGUAACUGACGCUGAGGAGCGAAAGCGUGGGGAGCGAACAGG
This 253-nucleotide ribosomal RNA is filed under the name uncultured bacterium. RNAcentral's name for it is "partial 16S ribosomal RNA". It matches the Rfam family "Bacterial small subunit ribosomal RNA", at positions 524 to 776 of the family's 1533-position model. The record is from RNAcentral.